GAUGAACGCUGGCGGCGUGCCUAAUACAUGCAAGUCGAGCGAACGGACGAGAAGCUUGCUUCUCUGAUGUUAGCGGCGGACGGGUGAGUAACACGUGGAUAACCUACCUAUAAGACUGGGAUAACUUCGGGAAACCGGAGCUGAUACCGGAUAAUAUUUUGAACCGCAUGGUUCAAAAGUGAAAGACGGUCUUGCUGUCACUUAUAGAUGGAUCCGCGCUGCAUUAGCUAGUUGGUAAGGUAACGGCUUACCAAGGCAACGAUGCAUAGCCGACCUGAGAGGGUGAUCGGCCACACCGGAACUGAGACACGGUCCAGACUCCUACGGGAGGCAGCAGUAGGGAAUCUUCCGCAAUGGGCGAAAGCCUGACGGAGCAACGCCGCGUGAGUGAUGAAGGUCUUCGGAUCGUAAAACUCUGUUAUUAGGGAAGAACAUAUGUGUAAGUAACUGUGCACAUCUUGACGGUACCUAAUCAGAAAGCCACGGCUAACUACGUG
RNAcentral lists this ribosomal RNA (497 nucleotides) under uncultured bacterium. Its description in RNAcentral is "partial 16S ribosomal RNA". It matches the Rfam family "Bacterial small subunit ribosomal RNA", at positions 28 to 507 of the family's 1533-position model. The record is from RNAcentral.